CUACGGGGGGCAGCAGUGGGGGAUAUUGCACAAUGGGCGAAAGCCUGAUGCAGCAACGCCGCGUGAAGGAAGACGGAUUUCGGUCUGUAAACUUCUAUCAGCAGGGAAGAAAAUGACUGUACCUGACUAAGAAGCCCCGGCUAACUACGUGCCAGGCAGCCGCGGUAAUACGUAGGGGGCAAGCGUUAUCCGGAAUUAAUGGGUGUAAAGGGUACGUAGGCGGCUGAUCAAGUCAGAUGUGAAAGCCCGGGGCUCAACCCCGGGACUGCAUUUGAAACUGGUCGGCUAGAGUGCAGGAGAGGAAAGUGGAAUUCCUAGUGUAGCGGUGAAAUGCGUAGAUAUUAGGAAGAACACCAGUGGCGAAGGCGGCUUUCUGGACUGUAACUGACGCUGAGGUACGAAAGCGUGGGGAGCGAACAGGAUUAGAUACCCUAGUAGUC
Molecule: ribosomal RNA, 440 nt
Filed under: uncultured bacterium
Lineage: Bacteria
Description: partial 16S ribosomal RNA
Rfam family: Bacterial small subunit ribosomal RNA
Source: RNAcentral